This 20-nucleotide ribosomal RNA is filed under the name Trichoderma sp. RNAcentral's name for it is "partial 28S ribosomal RNA". The record is from RNAcentral. Lineage: Eukaryota; Fungi; Ascomycota; Sordariomycetes; Hypocreales; Hypocreaceae.
UGACCUCGAUCAGGUAGGAA